AAGUCGUAACAAGGUUUCCGUAGGUGAACCUGCGGAAGGAUCAUUAUUGAAAUAAACCUGAUGGGUUGUUGCUGGUUCUCUAGGGAGCAUGUGCACACCUUGUCAUCUUUAUAUCUCCACCUGUGCACCUUUUGUAGACCUUUCAGGUCUAUGUUGCUUCAUUUACCCCAAUGUAUGUUAAUAGAAUGUUGUGCCUAUAUAAUAUAUACAACUUUCAGCAACGGAUCUCUUGGCUCUCGCAUCGAUGAAGAACGCAGCGAAAUGCGAUAAGUAAUGUGAAUUGCAGAAUUCAGUGAAUCAUCGAAUCUUUGAACGCACCUUGCGCUCCUUGGUAUUCCGAGGAGCAUGCCUGUUUGAGUGUCAUUAAUAUAUCAACCUUCUCUUUUUGAGUGGUUUGGAUGUGGGGGUUUGCUGGCCUCUUAAAAGGUCUUGGCUCUCCUGAAAUACAUUAGCAGAACAACCCUGUUCAUUGGUGUGAUAACUAUCUACGCUAUUGAAUGUGAAGGGCAGUUUGGCUUUCUAACAGUCCUUGGACAAGCUCAUCAUUAAUGUGACCUCAAAUCAGGUAGGACUACCCGCUGAACUUAA
This 588-nucleotide ribosomal RNA is filed under the name uncultured Cortinarius. RNAcentral's name for it is "eukaryotic LSU rRNA". The stretch from base 210 to 363 matches the Rfam family "5.8S ribosomal RNA". Lineage: Eukaryota; Fungi; Basidiomycota; Agaricomycetes; Agaricales; Cortinariaceae. The record is from RNAcentral.